RNAcentral lists this ribosomal RNA (253 nucleotides) under uncultured bacterium. RNAcentral's name for it is "partial 16S ribosomal RNA". It matches the Rfam family "Bacterial small subunit ribosomal RNA", at positions 524 to 776 of the family's 1533-position model. The record is from RNAcentral.
UACAGAGGGUGCGAGCGUUGUCCGGAAUCACUGGGCGUAAAGGGCGCGUAGGUGGCGACCCAAGUCCAUGGUGAAAGCUCGAUGCUCAACAUCGAGUCGGCCACGGAUACUGGGUUGCUCGAGCACUGUAGAGGCUAAUGGAAUUCCGGGUGUAGCGGUGGAAUGCGUAGAGAUCCGGAAGAACACCGGUGGCGAAGGCGGUUAGCUGGGCAGUUGCUGACACUGAGGCGCGAAAGCGUGGGGAGCAAACAGG